Molecule: ribosomal RNA, 436 nt
Filed under: uncultured bacterium
Lineage: Bacteria
Description: bacterial SSU rRNA
Rfam family: Bacterial small subunit ribosomal RNA
Source: RNAcentral
AACGCGAAGAACCUUACCUGGUCUUGACAUCCUGGGAACCCUGAAGAGAUUUAGGGGUGCCGCAAGGAGCCCAGAGACAGGUGCUGCAUGGCUGUCGUCAGCUCGUGUCGUGAGGUGUUGGGUUAAGUCCCGCAACGAGCGCAACCCUUGUCGUGUGUUGGUCCACAAGAUCUCUCACACGAGACCGCCGGUGACAAGCCGGAGGAAGGUGGGGAUGACGUCAAGUCAGCAUGGCCCUUACGUCCAGGGCUACACACGUGCUACAAUGCGCCGGACAGCGAGUCGCGAACCCGCGAGGGCAAGCUAAUCUCUUAAACCGGCGCUCAGUUCGGAUUGAAGGCUGCAACUCGCCUUCAUGAAGUCGGAAUCGCUAGUAACCGCAGAUCAGCUACGCUGCGGUGAAUACGUUCCCGGGCCUUGUACACACCGACUGUAC